Molecule: ribosomal RNA, 771 nt
Filed under: Staphylococcus aureus
Lineage: Bacteria; Bacillati; Bacillota; Bacilli; Caryophanales; Staphylococcaceae
Description: bacterial SSU rRNA
Rfam family: Bacterial small subunit ribosomal RNA
Source: RNAcentral
CGGUCGAGCGACGGACGAGAAGCUUGCUUCUCUGAUGUUAGCGGCGGACGGGUGAGUAACACGUGGAUAACCUACCUAUAAGACUGGGAUAACUUCGGGAAACCGGAGCUAAUACCGGAUAAUAUUUUGAACCGCAUGGUUCAAAAGUGAAAGACGGUCUUGCUGUCACUUAUAGAUGGAUCCGCGCUGCAUUAGCUAGUUGGUAAGGUAACGGCUUACCAAGGCAACGAUGCAUAGCCGACCUGAGAGGGUGAUCGGCCACACUGGAACUGAGACACGGUCCAGACUCCUACGGGAGGCAGCAGUAGGGAAUCUUCCGCAAUGGGCGAAAGCCUGACGGAGCAACGCCGCGUGAGUGAUGAAGGUCUUCGGAUCGUAAAACUCUGUUAUUAGGGAAGAACAUAUGUGUAAGUAACUGUGCACAUCUUGACGGUACCUAAUCAGAAAGCCACGGCUAACUACGUGCCAGCAGCCGCGGUAAUACGUAGGUGGCAAGCGUUAUCCGGAAUUAUUGCGCGUAAAGCGCGCGUAGGCGGUUUUUUAAGUCUGAUGUGAAAGCCCACGGCUCAACCGUGGAGGGUCAUUGGAAACUGGAAAACUUGAGUGCAGAAGAGGAAAGUGGAAUUCCAUGUGUAGCGGUGAAAUGCGCAGAGAUAUGGAGGAACACCAGUGGCGAAUGCGACUUUCUGGUCUGUAACUGACGCUGAUGUGCGAAAGCGUGGGCAUCAACAGGAUUAGAUACCCUGGCUAGUCCACGCCGUAAAACGAUGA